CCGUGCUCCAUACACACGCACACACACACACAGCACCCCCUUCUCCUCCCUCCUCCCUCCACGCCGGGCCGCUCUCCAGGGGAGGAGCGAGGAAGCGUAACGUUUUCAAAGCUGAAUACCCCCCCCCUUCUCCCCCCCCAAAAAAAAAAAAAAAAAGCAACAAAAACCCACCACCACCACAAGCCCAAACGCAACACACACACGCAGCAUAGACCUCCCCCCGGACUCCGCGCUGUGCCCGGAGUAACUACCAAGUGGCCGGAACUCCGCCGGGAAGGCGGGCAGCCUCGCCGUCCCCCCGCCCCGGCAACUCCGCAGCGCCCGGAGCCGCUCCAUCCCCGGCCGAGCCCCCGCUCCGCCCUGCUCGGGAGCUGCGGUGCUCCGCGCCCCGUGGAAAGAGGAGGAGGAGGAGAAGACGGCAGCCCCGGGCCCGGCGCGAGGCCUCCCGCCCCUUCUGCCCGCCGGCCGCCGCCGUAACUCCGGCUGGCGACUUUGCUGCUGAGCUGAAACUGCUAAUUUCUGUGACCAGCUUUUUUCUUAGCUGUGAUCUGGAUGAAUGAGUAGCUGUCUCACAGAGAUGACAAAAAUAAACUCUAAUCCCCCCAAAAAUUUCCACUACAUCUUUCUCAUGCAUAGAUUUAUGAUCUUCAAGCGCCCUGUGCAAUAUGCAAACUUUUUGUGUGUGUGUAUGUGUGUGUGUGUGUGUGCUGCUGGGGGGGCAGGCUGUUGUAUUCAGGUUGCACAGGGUUUGGUUUGUGUCUCUGCUCUCCCCCCCACCCCGGAUGUGAUGGAAAUAAUGUCUGAUUUCAGAACCCGAUAUAUUGCCCCCUCCACCCCCCAGCAUUUAUGUUAUUGCUCUGAUGAGAUGUAUUUUCCUUUCUAGCAACCGGGGUGAGGCUGAAGGGGCGGAGGGAAGAGAGAAAAAGUGAGGCUCCUACAUGGUGUUAGUGGCAAAACGUUCCCUUUCCAUUUGUUCCCCUGCACUGUUCAAGAUUUAUGAUCUUGUUUGAAGGCAUAUUUUCUCUAUUGUUUUGUCUGGUUAGACAACCGUCUCUGAACUUCACUGUCAGCUCUUCAACAGAUAAGGGUUCAGAAGUCACUUUUUUUUUUCUUAUUGGAAGAUUAGCAUAUUGUCAGAUUUGUCUUUCAGUUUCGAGACUUUGCAAUGCAGAAGCCCGAAUCAAAUGGCAGGAAAGUAGCUGCUAUUUCAUGAAUGCAACCUUUCAACUUUCUGCCAGAUCUGAUACCCUGAAACAUGUGCAGCCCAUGCUUUGGGGCUUUGUUUUGGCUUUGGUUUUUGCUCCUUUGUUGCUGGAACAAGCAGAGGGAGUUCUCAUGGUAGGCACCUGGGGCUUUUUCUUUCCAAGAAGGGACAUUUUGGUAGAGGGCAUGUUCUCUGCACUUUGUCUCAUGAUGGAUGGCACCCUCACAUAUAUAGCUGUGUUCCUCUGUUGUCAAA
Molecule: long non-coding RNA, 1459 nt
Filed under: Gallus gallus (chicken)
Lineage: Eukaryota; Metazoa; Chordata; Aves; Galliformes; Phasianidae
Source: RNAcentral